ACCAAGCUUCUUUAUUGCUGCCCUCUUCUGGAUGAAGUCACAAAAUUGGCAUGCCAUGAAACAAGGCGCAAGGGUACCCAAAGAGGUGAUGGGGACCCCCAACUCUCCUCCCAAACUCUACAAAAACAGUGUGGCCAUCUGACUGAACUACUGGCAGUGGAAUUUAAGAAGAAACAAAUGUGUUAUUUCCAAGCCCAGGGUUUUAAGAAGAGGAUGUGGCUUCAGAGUGCUGUUACGCUCCUAUUACUUUGAUGCAGAAGAUGUAGAGACUUUAAGGGGAUGGCACCCCUCACAAAGCAGAAGGAUCUUUCUAUCAUGAAAUACAUGGAUAAAAACUGCCUCCAAAUCAGAAGUGUAGGAACCAGCCUACUAGCUGAGCUUAAACCUGACCAAGGGGUGACAAG
Molecule: long non-coding RNA, 404 nt
Filed under: Heterocephalus glaber (naked mole-rat)
Lineage: Eukaryota; Metazoa; Chordata; Mammalia; Rodentia; Bathyergidae
Description: lncRNA (ENSHGLG00100047276.1)
Source: RNAcentral